RNAcentral lists this ribosomal RNA (319 nucleotides) under uncultured eukaryote. RNAcentral describes it as "partial 18S ribosomal RNA". It matches the Rfam family "Eukaryotic small subunit ribosomal RNA", at positions 1470 to 1796 of the family's 1831-position model. The record is from RNAcentral.
CCCUUAGAUGUUCUGGGCCGCACGCGCACUACACUGAUGAAUUCAACGAGCCUAGCCUUGUCCGAAAGGUCCGGGUAAUCUCUGAAACUUCAUCGUGAUGGGGAUAGAUCAUUGCAAUUAUUGAUCUUCAACGAGGAAUUCCUAGUAAGCGCAAGUCAUCAGCUUGCGUUGAUUACGUCCCUGCCCUUUGUACACACCGCCCGUCGCUUGUACCGAUUGGAUGGUCCGGUGAAAUCUUCGGAUAGCUGGUAGUUGGCUUGCCAUCUGCUGCUAAAAGUUGCUUAAACCUUAUCAUCUAGAGGAACAAGAAGUCGUAACA